This is an RNA transcript of Oryza sativa Japonica Group (Japanese rice), 1967 nucleotides long. It is a transcript of the gene named probable protein phosphatase 2C 65, with no coding region annotated. NCBI's taxonomy places the organism in Eukaryota, Viridiplantae, Streptophyta, Magnoliopsida, Poales, Poaceae. The record is from RefSeq and is marked inferred.
ACCCCCACACGAAUUCCACACUUGACGCCUCCUUUUUUUUUUGUUUAAAUUUUAUUUUAUUCGUUGCAUUUAUUAAUUUACCUUUCUUCUUCUCACACAAGCACAGUGCCAUUUGAAUCAUUCGAUCUCUCUCUCUUCUCUCCUCCUCUUCCGAAUUCCCCUUCCGAUUUGUAAACUCCCAAAAAGCAAUCGCGCACUCGGCGAACCCUAGCCCGGCGAUGGGGUGCGCGCAGGGGAAGUGCUGCGUGCCGCGGCGGCAGAGGGGACGCGGCGGCGGCGGGGCGGUGGGUGGGCGCGGCGGCGCGACGCUGGGGCGGGUGGCGGUGCCGGGGGCGGGGCUGGUGCUGGAGUACGCGACGCUGGCGGUGGCGGGGCUGUACCCGGACUCGCCCGGGAGGGAGUCGCAGGACGCGCACCUGGUGGCGACGCGGUUCGCGGGGCACCCCGACCUCCACCUGUUCGCGGUGUUCGACGGGCACGGCGCGUGCGGCGCCGCGUGCGCCGGGUUCGCGCGCGACGCGCUCCCGCGGCUGCUCGCGGGGGUGGGGGUGGGGGCGGGGGAGGAGGGAGGGGGGAGGAUGGUGGUGGUGGAGGACCCCGCGGCGGCGUUCCGGGAGGCGCUCCCGGCGGCGAACGCGGAGAUGCACGCGGCGGACGAGGUGGACGACUCGAUGAGCGGGACCACCGCCGUGGCGGCGCUGGUGGCGGGGGGUGCGCUCCACGUGGCCAACGUGGGGGACUCACGCGCCGUGGCCGGGGUUUGGCGCGAGGGGCGCGUGGCGGCGGAGGAGCUCUCGUGGGACCAGACGCCGUUCCGCGCCGACGAGCGCGCCCGCGUGAAGGCGUGCGGCGCGCGGGUGAUGUCGGUCGAGCAGGUGGAGGGCGUGCGCGACCCGGAGGCGGAGAGCUGGGUCGCCGACGAGGGGGACCCACCUCGCGUGUGGGCGCGCGACGGGCUCUACCCCGGCACGGCCUUCACGCGCAGCCUCGGCGACCAAGCCGCCGAGGCUGUUGGUGUCAUCGCCGAACCUGAGGUGAAAAGUGUAGAGAUCACUCCAGCCCACCUAUUCUUCGUCGUCGCAAGCGAUGGCGUGUUUGAGUUUCUCUCCAGCCAGGAUGUCGUGGACAUGGUGGCUGCAUAUGAAGAUCCCCGGGAAGCUUGCUCAGCAAUUGCUGCAGAGUCGUACAAACUAUGGCUGGAGCAUGAAAACAGGACGGAUGACAUUACGAUAAUCAUUGUGCACAUCCGGGAUUCCGAAAAUCCAGGUCCUGCAGGGAGCCAGAAAAUGAACGGCAGCAGCUCGGGAGCGGUGCAACCAGAGCUAACUGUAUUUGUACCGUCAGAAGCUAGCCAUCUGAACAGAGAUGCUGCUACUGAAAUGCCGUCGUCCUCUUCAGGCUCUCCAACAGAACAACACCUCUCCUGCGUCGCUCCUUCUCCGACUCACCCUCUGCUUGGAGUUGGGAGAACAUCAGAAACCCCCAAGCUGAUAGAAAGCGAGAGAGCUAUGUCGCAACCAGCGGAAGCAUCAUGGCAUCAAAGGGAUGGUGUUGUCAACAUGGAUCGAUCAGUGCAGCGCAGCAUCCCAACAGCCUCCUGCUAAACUUGAUGAGUAUCUAAACUUAAAUGACACAAGAAAAGCAGCAUGAUACCACAUCACUGUCCUCCGGAGCUGUUGCUGUGCGAUGGCUGUGGUGCUGGCUUUGCAGAGUGUCCGUCAUGCACCGGUGGCAAAUCCUCUCGGUGCUGUUGCUCGUGUUUUUCUUAGAGCACCUGCUGACUGACGACGCAAAAAAAAAAAAAAGGGGUUCCUGACCCAAACUGGGUCGCGUUUAACUUGGGGAUUGGUUGACUUUGUUCGUGUGACGACCAACGCGUCGUCGUGCCUGUAUUUACCAAUAACAACUUGAAAAGAUGUCUUAAAGUUGAUGCUUGCCGUAAUGUGUGAUUCGAGGAGCACUGCCAA